GAUGAAGAACGUAGCGAAAUGCGAUAAGUAAUGCGAAUUGCAGAAUUCAGUGAGUCAUCGAAUCUUUGAACGCACAUUGCGCCCUGUGGUAUUCCGCAGGGCAUGCCUGUUCGAGCGUCAUUUCAACCCUCAAGCCUCGCUUGGUGUUGGGUCCUGCCCGCCGCGGCCGGCCCUAAAGAUAGUGGCGGCGCCGCCUGGCCCUCAGCGUAGUACAGCUCUCGCUCCAGGGUCCGGCGGCAGCCUGCCAGAACCCCCCAACUCUGUGGUUGACCUCGGAUCAGGUAGGGAUACCCGCUGAACUUAAGCAUAUCAAUAAGCGGAGGA
RNAcentral lists this unclassified non-coding RNA (324 nucleotides) under soil metagenome. RNAcentral's name for it is "partial contains 5.8S ribosomal RNA, internal transcribed spacer 2, and large subunit ribosomal RNA". The stretch from base 1 to 120 matches the Rfam family "5.8S ribosomal RNA", at positions 35 to 154 of the family's 154-position model. The record is from RNAcentral.